Molecule: long non-coding RNA, 225 nt
Filed under: Elaeis guineensis (African oil palm)
Lineage: Eukaryota; Viridiplantae; Streptophyta; Magnoliopsida; Arecales; Arecaceae
Description: long non-coding RNA (EGUI_LNC041079)
Source: RNAcentral
AAAGAAACUAAAGGAUAUUUUUUCUACCUUGCUGAAGAAUAAAAAUUGUUUGACAGCAAUAAGAAAAUUUUUUUAGAAAAAGAGUUCCUUGGUAAAGAAACUAAUACCUCUAAGGUUGAACUUGAUGAAGUUUAAUAGGUAGAAGGACCAACACAGAUCAGGGGGAAUAUAGAAUCGGAUUUGAUUAGAUCAAAUCUAGAGCCCAUUGUUGAGGCACCUUUAAAG